GAUAAACGCUGGCGGCGUGCAUGAGACAUGCAAGUCGAACGAAGGAUCGGGCUUGCUCGAUCCUUAGUGGCGGACGGCUGAGUAACGCGUAGGUGACCUACCCCGAAGUGUGGAAUAACUGCCCGAAAGGGCGGCUAAUACCGCAUGUGGUCGCACGUUCAUUCGUGCGAGUAAAGCCGCAAGGCGCUUCGGGAGGGGCCUGCGUCCGAUUAGCUCGUUGGUGGGGUAAUGGCUUACCAAGGCGACGAUCGGUAGGUGGUCUGAGAGGACGAUCACCCAGACUGGGACUGAGACACGGCCCAGACUCCUACGGGAGGCAGCAGUCGGGAAUUUUGCUCAAUGGGGGAAACCCUGAAGCAGCAACGCCGCGUGAGGGAUGAAGGCCUUCGGGUUGUAAACCUCUUUUGUCAGGGACGAUGAUGACGGUACCUGGCGAAUAAGCCACGGCUAACUACGUG
Molecule: ribosomal RNA, 458 nt
Filed under: uncultured bacterium
Lineage: Bacteria
Description: partial 16S ribosomal RNA
Rfam family: Bacterial small subunit ribosomal RNA
Source: RNAcentral